GCCUAACACAUGCAAGUCGAACGGUAACAGGAAGCAGCUUGCUGCUUCGCUGACGAGUGGCGGACGGGUGAGUAAUGUCUGGGAAGCUGCCUGAUGGAGGGGGAUAACUACUGGAAACGGUAGCUAAUACCGCAUAAUGUCGCAAGACCAAAGAGGGGGACCUUCGGGCCUCUUGCCAUCGGAUGUGCCCAGAUGGGAUUAGCUUGUUGGUGGGGUAACGGCUCACCAAGGCGACGAUCCCUAGCUGGUCUGAGAGGAUGACCAGCCACACUGGAACUGAGACACGGUCCAGACUCCUACGGGAGGCAGCAGUGGGGAAUAUUGCACAAUGGGCGCAAGCCUGAUGCAGCCAUGCCGCGUGUAUGAAGAAGGCCUUCGGGUUGUAAAGUACUUUCAGCGGGGAGGAAGGGAGUAAAGUUAAUACCUUUGCUCAUUGACGUUACCCGCAGAAGAAGCACCGGCUAACUCCGUGCCAGCAGCCGCGGUAAUACGGAGGGUGCAAGCGUUAAUCGGAAUUACUGGGCGUAAAGCGCACGCAGGCGGUUUGUUAAGUCAGAUGUGAAUCCCCGGGCUCAACCUGGGAACUGCAUCUGAUACUGGCAAGCUUGAGUCUCGUAGAGGGGGGUAGAAUUCCAGGUGUAGCGGUGAAAUGCGUAGAGA
RNAcentral lists this ribosomal RNA (660 nucleotides) under uncultured Pseudomonadota bacterium. Its description in RNAcentral is "bacterial SSU rRNA". It matches the Rfam family "Bacterial small subunit ribosomal RNA", at positions 46 to 696 of the family's 1533-position model. Lineage: Bacteria; Pseudomonadati; Pseudomonadota. The record is from RNAcentral.